RNAcentral lists this ribosomal RNA (450 nucleotides) under uncultured bacterium. RNAcentral's name for it is "partial 16S ribosomal RNA". It matches the Rfam family "Bacterial small subunit ribosomal RNA", at positions 354 to 796 of the family's 1533-position model. The record is from RNAcentral.
GUGGGGAAUAUUGGACAAUGGGCGAAAGCCUGAUCCAGCCAUGCCGCGUGUGUGAAGAAGGUCUUCGGAUUGUAAAGCACUUUAAGUUGGGAGGAAGGGCAGUAAGUUAAUACCUUGCUGUUUUGACGUUACCGACAGAAUAAGCACCGGCUAACUUCGUGCCAGCAGCCGCGGUAAUACGAAGGGUGCAAGCGUUAAUCGGAAUUACUGGGCGUAAAGCGCGCGUAGGUGGUUUUGUAAGUUGGAGGUGAAAUCCCCGGGCUCAACCUGGGAACUGCCUCCAAAACUGCAGGACUAGAGUACGGUAGAGGGUAGUGGAAUUUCCUGUGUAGCGGUGAAAUGCGUAGAUAUAGGAAGGAACACCAGUGGCGAAGGCGACUACCUGGACUGAUACUGACACUGAGGUGCGAAAGCGUGGGGAGCAAACAGGAUUAGAUACCCCAGUAGUCC